Molecule: long non-coding RNA, 8626 nt
Filed under: Lactuca sativa (garden lettuce)
Lineage: Eukaryota; Viridiplantae; Streptophyta; Magnoliopsida; Asterales; Asteraceae
Description: long non-coding RNA (LSAT_LNC006851)
Source: RNAcentral
UAUUAUAGGGAGGUGUAACACCCCAAAGUUCGGAAAGCCAAGAAAAGAAAGAAAAACCUCGAGUUUAAGGGGGACUCGGCGAGUCCAAGGAGGGACUCGGCGAGUCCGAACGGGAUCCGGGGUGAGGUGUUAGCGACCGACUCGGCGAGUCGGCCAAGGAGACUCGACGAGUUGGGUCUGAACGAGGAAAACCCUAAAUCCGGGACUUGGAGCCUAUUUAAGCGUCUCAUUCUCUUUCCUAGGGUUCCUUUAGUGCCUCUUUACCCCCAGAACAUCAACCCUAGCCGUCAUGUUCGUUUUUGAGCUAGAUCUUGCAUUGAAGAGAGCACUAUAAGCUUGGAGAAGGAAGAAAAGCCUUGGAAGUGCAAGAAGGGACUGUAGAUCCGAGAUUGAGAAGACAUUUCAGAUCAAUUGGAGGUAAUAAGCUGCUGAUUAGACUCCCUUUUGCAUCUAGAUCUAUUCUUAUGUGUGGGUUUUAGUCAUUAUUGGUAUGAUUGGUAACCAAUUCGAGUUGGAGGGUCAGAUCUGAGGUUGCUACCUCAGAUCCAUGUUGGUUUUGGUCUUGAAUCCCCUAAAGUAUCAGCCCUUGGUAUGUUGAAGAAGCAUGUUUGCCAUAAACCCUAGUUUAGUGUGUUUUGAGCAUAGAUCUCUCAAUCUACACGUAAAGUUUGCCACUUUACGUGGGGAAUAGGCCCUAGAAGUAUGGAUCUAUGAGUUGGAAGUUCUGUUUGGCUCGAAAAGCCACUGCAUGGAUUGAAGACUGGAUAGACUCGGCGAGUCCUUCGAGUGGACUCGGCGAGUAGCUUGAAGAUGAGGAGGAACUCGACGAGUAGGAUGAACAGCUCGUCGAGUCGGUUGAAGUUAGGCAUGGACUCGGCGAGUUGGAUGAACAACUCGACGAGUUGGUUGAAGAUUGUCUUGGACUCGGCGAGUCUGUUCUUGGACUCGGCGAGUCAGAUCGCGAAACCCUAAACCCUUUGAGUUGAGACUCGAAUCAGUGAGUCGGGUGGUGACUCAGCGAGUUGGACAGGACAGGACUUGGAACUAGUUGGACUCGGCGAGUCAUGGACUGACUCGGCGAGUCGGGUCGCGAAUAAGAAAGACCCUGAGCUUAUGAACUCGGCGAGUCUUUAGGAAGACUCGGCGAGUAGGGUUGACCUGGAAGGUUGACUUUGACCAGAGUUGACUUAGUUGACUGUCAGACUAAGUGUUAUAUGUAUAUUGAUAGCUCGGAGAGCUAGAGGAGCAGUGGUUCAGGGGAUUGUCGAGUAGCAGCCAGAGGUUUAUCAGCAGGGCUCAGCAGUUCAGGUGAGUUUCCUUCCAGUAGGAACGGGUCUAAGGCCACAAUGCCGGCCCGUUUAGCUAGCAGUAGUUUUCGGAUGUUGAUCUGAUAUAGUAGUUAGUAUGUUUGAUGCCUUCGUGGCUCAGACAGGAUUUAUGUGUUAUGUGUUCCGGGCUACGGCCCGAAGUAGUAUGCAGUAUACGUGUGUUCAUGCUAGUUGAUAUGUUUAUGUUAUGUUCUGUUCAGUUAGCCCGGACUUCGGUCCGAUGCAGGGGACAAGGUCCCAGUUAGUCCGGACUUCGGUCCGAUGCAGGGGGCAAGGCCCCAGUUAGCCCGGACUUCGGUCCGAUGCAGGGGACAAGGUCCCAGUUAGUCCGGACUUCGGUCCGAUGCAGGGGGCAAGGCCCCAGUUAGCCCGGACUUCGGUCCGAUGCAGGGGACAAGGUCCCAGUUAGUCCGGACUUCGGUCCGAUGCAGGGGGCAAGGCCCCAGUUAGCCCGGACUUCGGUUCGAUGCAGUGGGCAAGGCCCAAUAUGUGCUUUAUAUGUUUUUUUGAAGUAUGUUGUAGAUUGGGGGAGCUCACUAAGCUUCGUGCUUACGGUUUUCAGUUUUGGUUUCAGGUACUCGGUUUUCAAAAGAGGAGCUCGGGAAGAUUGCAGAGCACACACCAUAGUCAGUUAGCCUGGGAAUGUUUGACUCUGAUAAUGAUAUUAUGUUUUGAAUUUAAUACUCAAAAGUUAUGUUUGACUUAUGAUACGUUGUUAUAAAUCUAUUUUUAGUAAUGUUUAAAAGAAAUUUUUAGUCAUGAUUUUUGGGUCGUUACAAAUUGGUAUCAGAGCCUUGGUUUGAGGGAUUCGGGCGCACUCCUGAGUGUGUUUGAACUCAAACUAAGGAAGUGGUAUAUAGUUUUCAAAAGAAAAAUCGUAGUUACAAAAGAAUUUUGAGAAAAGAAAACAAUUUUUAGAAAAAGCAAAAAGAGUUUUGAAAAGAGAAAAGGGUGUGGUGCAUGCAAUCAGCCGAGCUCAAGUAAGUACUCCCAAUUUACCCAUACAAGUUAUAUUAUGAUUAUCAGUAUCGGUUUCAGUUUCAGUUUCAGUUCCAGCUUCAGUAGAACAGCAUGCUAGAAUAGGACUAAGGAUCUAGGAUGAUGCCUUAUGUGCCUGCUUUAUGUGUUCAGCUUUAUGAGAAUUGCAUGCUAGUAUUGAGUAGACAGCAGUAGGAUAGCCUGUUUAGGUUAUGCCUGGUAGCACGAGCUUAGCAUUGUAUGCUAGUGUAGUUUCUCGUUAUGAGAAUAGUUUUGCCUGAGUAUGUCUCCUUUAUCCGAAUGCUGCUUGCUUUGUGCUUUGUGGGACUCCGAGUGGUGGGAUUUAGCCAUUAGGUGAAUACGUCACAUCACAUGUGAGCAGGGUUGAAUAAUCUCAGAGUGCUGGAUUUGGCCCUACUGCGCAGCUCUCGUUUGAGUCCAACCGUUGUAGGGACGAGACUUUUACUCGAAGGAUUAUCCGAGCCUCAUUACAUGUGAUGGUAUUCAGGUGGUGGCUAAUUGGCAUUACAAGGAGGCCUUCAGCAGCUGAGGACUGGUUUGAGUAGAGUCAGAGGUUCCCUAGGGCAAGCCUAGGAUGAGAGUAGCAGAGAUCAGUUGAAGAGUAAAGGGGACUUGGUGGAGUUGAGGUAACUCUUGAGGAAAGUACGGAUAGAUGUGGAAGGUAGUAGGGGCCCAUACUACUGAAAGCAGAGGAUCCGUAUUCGAUUCAAGAGGGGCCGAGGCAAAAUCAAGGAACUAGUAGAGUAUGCGAGAAAUUCCUCAGCAGUAGUAUGUAAAUUGAUCAGGAUUUUGUUAUAUUUUCAGCAUGGUGACGUUGCGCGAGAUACCAGUUAGCAGUUCAGGUGUCGAGGAGGGGUCUGGCUCGGGCUUCAGAGCCGGGCAGCUUGAUGAUCAGAUGAGGGAUUUCAUUUCCGCAGAGAUUACGCGCAACAUCAUUGAUCAGACUCCAGUGAUUUUCGGUUCGGUUAGAGAGGCCAUUGUGGAGCUCAUGGACAGUCAUCUUGAGGCCUUUAAGGCCGGGUUAGUUUCAGGACAGAUUGGGGCUCGUCUAGGUCCCGAAUCUUAUGGAGUUCAGGGAUCCAUCAGGGAGGGAGAUCCCAUUUCUAGUUCCUGCCAUCAGGGGGCAGGGGUGAGUGGGGAAUUCUGUCUCCAAGAGAGACCAUUGCAUGAUUGGAUAGUUGAGGAAGUUUCGCGAGCCUUUCGCGAGGAUCUGCCCGACAUGGUCGUGAGGAUCACUGAUAGAUUGAUAGCGAGGCUUCAGGAUCAGACAUCUGUUGUUCAGUUAGCAGGCGUUGCCGUUGGGGUAACGCAGGAGCGAGAGUCGGGCAGGGAGUCAGAAGGGAAAAGGAAAAUUGAUGAGACUCAGGUAGCCACAGGUUCGGGUAAGAGGCCCAAGGGUCCAGAUUUGAGGACGAGGAACUAUCAGAGCCGCAGUCGAUGCGGGAAGUGCGGAAGGACGCACAUGGGUGUGUGUAGGCGUAGAAGUGGUGGCGAUGCUGGGUGUUUCAAGUGCGGCCAGAUUGGUCAUUUUAGCAGAGACUGUGUUGUUACCAUCGCCCAGGGGCUUGAUCCGUUAUGUUUCCAUUGCAGUCAGAGGGGCCACAAGAAGGCCCACUGUCCGAGUUUGUAUCCAGCAGGGCAGGUGCCAGCUCCUGCCCUUGGGACUUCGAGUACCGCCAGCAGUUGUCGAGGCCCGGCAAGGGUGCCUACGGCUCAGAGCCGAGUUUUCCGGUAGAUUUCAGCAGGGAUUCGAGCAGCACUGAGUAAUGAAGGUACGUAACUUUUGUUUUUCUGUCAGCUUAUGUCAUGAUUAUAUUGUUAUGGUUCUGCAUCAAAUUGUGGUAUAAGUGUUGUGUUAUAGUGUGGCUUGCUUGUGAUUAUGUUAUAUGCCAUUUGCAUACCUCGGAUAAUUGGUUGGUAGUUAGGGGAUGUGCUCUUAUGGAGAAGGUUUCGGAGGAUGCAGUAACUAUAGCAUGGUUGGGAGAGAUUUGGUUCGUUUCGCUAGUUCGGAGUGGUUAGUGUUGGGAUGGAUUGGUUAGAUCCCUAGCUAUGGCAGGCUUGGGCUCCUUAGCAGAAUGAUUAUAGAAUGGCAGCAAAGAUCGGGAUCUCUUUUGAGUGUGAAGCAGCAAGGGGUAAGCAGGAUCGAAGUGGGGGAGAACCCUCCGGGGAUACAUGGAUAAGAGUCUCGUAGACUCAGAAUGAGUGUGCGGCCUCUGAGAAGAAAUGGUAGUAGCACAGUGAUGGAUGGAUUGAGAAGUUCAGAAUUGGGAGUUCGAGAACUUUUCCCAGCAGUUAGUUCAUGUAAUCGAGAUGGUUAGAAGCUGGUUGGGAAUCCAGGAUUGGAGGACCACCUGUCGGACGCAUGAGAGUCGGAAUGAAGAUCCUGAGAACGGGUAACAAGAGAUGUUUUCGUAUUAGUAGCCAGUGUCUGAGGCAGCAUGCAGGUUGCGUAGAUUCAGGAGUUGGGAGGUUGGAAACUUCCCAACAAUAGCUUCUUGUAUCCGGAUUAGUAAACGGUUGGUUUGGGAACCAAGCCGAAGGAUUCCUCGACGAAGCGCUAAGUAUAUCAAGGAUAUAAGAUGUCGAGGAUGAUGCAGAAUUCAAAGUCUAAGGACUGUUUUUUUUUGAAAUCGGGAUGAGGAAUCACUAGCGGGACUAGGGAUAGUCAGGAUGUUCUCGAGAUAGUGGUAGUGUUGUAAGUCUGCGGGGGCAGCCGUAGCAUUCACUAGCAGUCAGAUGGUAGUAGUAGUGGUGUUGUAAGUCUGCGGGGGUAGCCGUAGCAUCCACUAGCAGCCAGAUAGUAUUAGAGAGUUGUAAGUCCGCGAGCGUAGUCGCAGCCUUUUAUCAGAUUGGUAGGUAGCAUGAGCGCGUGUUAGACGCGGGAAAGCAGUUGUACCCACCAGUUCGGGUGCAGCAGUGAGGAUAUGGGAAUCCACGGGUUAGCUUUCGGAUUUCCCAAAGGGAUCAGUUAUGGCUAAGUCAGCAAUUUGGGCUAUAGAUCGUCACAUCAGUUAUGAGAUCAGAGUCGCAGUGGACCGUUGGGGUUCGGGUAUGUUGUGGGCUACCGUCAGUCUGGGAGCCAUCAUGUUGUUAGUCGUGGAAUUGAUGAUGUCAGGAGGUGACGUAUGAACCCGAUCGGUUGGAUCGGAAGGUUGCUAGAGCCACAGUGACAGGAUAACUAGUGGAAACUAGUCCUAGAGGAAGAUUUCGUUCAGAAGUCGUGGAAGCGACUAAGUGAGGAGUCCCUUGACUCCACAGUUGGGUUGGAGUUCAGUGUUUCAGGCAGCUCAGUGUUUCAGCCAGUUCAGUGUUUCAGGCAGCUCAGUGUUUCAGUCAGUUCAGUGUUUCAGGCCGUUCAGCGUUUCAGGCAGUUUAGUGUUUCAGGCAUGUUCAUUAUUGCAGGCAGUUCAGUGUUUGGAAGGUUUCAGGGUUUUGGGUCAGUAUUAGUUUUGUGUUGGAAUGCAAGUGCUGACGGUAUAGUUGGUUGAUUUGGAAAUGGCAAGUCUCUCUCAGCAGGAUCAGUUGAACCUUCUGCCAAGUGUAAGUGAUCUGUAAGGAUAGCUAGGCAGGUAGCCUUUCUUUCAGGAUGGAAGGCUCGAGUUAGUAGGAGUUGAGUAAUCAGAUGGGAUAUAAGCAAGCUGUUUCCAGCAGCAUCGUUUCAGUAUGAGCGGCAGAAUAGAUAUAACAGUUAUGGAUAGUCGAAGUAUCUUUAGGAGUCGCUGGAAGAGACUAGGAGUUUGCGAUGGAGUGUAGUGACCGGUGGGAGUCCGGUAACUCAGAUAUAGGGAGAUUGGUUAGACCAGAGUAGUCUCAGUGCAUCCGGUAGGCGAAUGGGAGGCAGCAGGAUUUUCAGUCGGAGGAAGUAACGUUGAGGAAAUUAUGGAAAAGAGAAGGAUUCAGUAUGUUCCAACGGUAAUGAUCGGCAUGGUGAGUGGCUGGAGUGUCGGACAAAAGGGUGUUAGAUUUUCCAGACAGAGAAUUGGAGGCAGUUCGCAGGCAGUUGAUCAUAGCAAACUUCGAGGACGAAGUUUAGUUUAAGUGGGGGAGAGUUGUAACACCCCAAAGUUUGGAAAGCCAAGAAAAGAAAGAAAACCUCAAGUUUAGGGGAGACUCGGCGAGUCCAUGGAGGGACUCGGCGAGUCCGAGCGGGAUCCGGGUUGUGGUGAAAGCGACCGACUCGGCGAGUCGGCCAAGGAGACUCGACGAGUUGGGUCUGAUCGAGGAAAACCCUAAAUCUGGGACUUGGAGACUAUUUAAGCGUCUCAUUCUCUUUCCUAGGGUUCCUCUACUGCCUCUCUACCCCAGAACACCAAACCCUAGCCGUCAUAUCUCCUAGUUGAGCCUUGGAAGGUGCUUUAAAGCUUGGAAAAAGGAAGAAGGAACUUGGAGGAGCAAGAAGGAGCCAUAGAUCUGGGAUUGUGAGUUCAUUUUGAGCACUUGGAGGUAAUAAACUAGUUCCUGGACCCUUUUUGCACCUAGAUCUAUGUGUGGUUGUUGGGGCUCUUUUGCCAUAAUGUUAUUAUUUUGGGUUAGAAGCCGGAUCUGGAGUUGCUACUUCAGAUUCAAGUGUUUUAGGGCCUGGAGAAGCAUAAAGUAUCAGUCAUUGUGUUGAUUUUGAAGUCCCUUGGCCUUACACCCUAGUUAAUGGCGUAUCUUGCCUAUAUCUCCUUCUCUACACGUAAAGUUUGCAACUUUACGUAAGGAAUAGACCUUAAAAGAGUGGAUCUACAGUUUGGAGUCCAUGCAUGACUCAAAGGUCCUCUGCAUGUAUGUAGAAUCGACUGGACUCGGCGAGUCCUUCGAGUGGACUCGGCGAGUAGCUUGAAGAUGAGGAGGAACUCGACGAGUAGGAUGAACAGCUCGUCGAGUCGGAUGAAGAUGGGCAUGAACUCGGCGAGUUGGAUGAACAACUCGGCGAGUUGGAUGAAGUUUGUCGUGUGCUCGGCGAGUCUGUUCUUAGACUCGGCGAGUUAGGUCGCGUGGUCCCAAACCCUUCGAGUUAAGUCUCGAGUCAGCGAGUCGAGCCAGGACUCAGUGAGUUGGGCUGGACAGGAAUCGGGAAUCAGCAGACUCGGCGAGUCAGGGGCUGACUCGGCGAGUAGAGUCGCGAGUGAAAGGACUCUGGACUUAUGAACUCGGCGAGUCAGUAGGGUGACUCGGCGAGUAGGGUUGACCUGGAAGGUUGACUUUGACCAGAGUUGACUUAGUUGACUGUCAGACUAAGUGUUAUAUGUAUAUUGAUAGCUCGGAGAGCUAGAGGAGCAGCGGUUCAGGGGAUUGUCGAGUAGCAGCCAGAGGUUUAUCAGCAGGGCUCAGCAGUUCAGGUGAGUUUCCUUCCAGUAGGAACGGGUCUAAGGCCACAAUGCCGGCCCGUUUAGCUAGCAGUAGUUUCGGAUGUUGAUCUGAUACAGCAGUUAGUAUGUUUGAUGCCUUCGUGGCUCAAACAGGAAUUAUGUGUUAUGUGUUCCGGGCUACGGCCCGAUGUAGUAUGCAGUAUAUGUGAGUUUAUGCCAGUUGAUAUGCUAUGAUAUGCUGUAGUCAGUUAGCUUCGGACUUCGGUCCGAUGUCAGCUUCGGACUUCGGUCCGAUGGAGGGGGCAAGGCCCCAGUCAGUUAGCUUCGGACUUCGGUCCGAUGUCAGCUUCGGACUUCGGUUCGAUGUAGGGGGCAAGGCCCCGUUAGCCCGGACUUCGGUCCGAUGCAGUGGGCAAGGCCCAAUAUGUGCUUUAUAUGUUUUGUGUGAUAUGUGGUAGAUUGGGGGAGCUCACUAAGCUUCGUGCUUACGGUUUUCAGUUUUGGUUUCAGGUACUCGGUUUUCAAAAGAGGAGCUCAGGAAGAUUGCAGAGCACACACCAUAGUCAGCUAGCUUGGGAAUGUUUGACUCUGAUAAUGAUGCUAUGUUUUGAAUUUAAUACUCGAAAGUUAUGUUUAACUUAUGAUACGUUUUAUAAAUCCAGUUUUAGUAAUGUUUUAAAAGAAAUUUUUAGUCGUGAUUUUUGGGUCGUUUUAGGAGGGGCUUAAAUGAGAGGAGGGUUGAGAAGAGGAGAGAAGGCUAAGGAGGGAAGGAGGUCUGUGGUGAGAGGGGUUGAUGGAAAGAAGGGAAUGGCUACCAAAGACGUGAGGUCUCCGGUGAGAGGGUCUGCAGUGAAGGGUAAUGUGGGUUUGAGGAAAGUGGCGAGGAGUAGGAAGUAGCGAGUGAAGUGAGGGAGUUGCGAGGAGGCUGAGGUGAUUUGGGGGGAGUUAAAGCGGGAGGUUGAGCAGGUCUUCGCUGAAGGUUGAAGGUUUGGUAGCGAGGAGCAG